GGGCCGGUGGCGGAAUCGGCAGACGCGGCAGACUUAAAAUCUGCUGCCCCGGGAGGGGCGUGCGGGUUCGACUCCCGCCCGGCCCACCU
Molecule: transfer RNA, 89 nt
Filed under: Thermoflexus hugenholtzii JAD2
Lineage: Bacteria; Bacillati; Chloroflexota; Thermoflexia; Thermoflexales; Thermoflexaceae
Also listed under: 1 other name
Description: tRNA_Leu_TAA
Rfam family: tRNA
About the family: Transfer RNA (tRNA) molecules are approximately 80 nucleotides in length.
Source: RNAcentral